RNAcentral lists this small RNA (918 nucleotides) under Pongo abelii (Sumatran orangutan). Its description in RNAcentral is "sense overlapping". The stretch from base 105 to 380 matches the Rfam family "SOX2 overlapping transcript exon 3". The record is from RNAcentral. Lineage: Eukaryota; Metazoa; Chordata; Mammalia; Primates; Hominidae.
CUCUCUCUCUUCUCUCUCUCCCUCUCCCUCUCUCUCUCUUUUAAAAAAUCAGCCAUUUGGGGUUUUAAGCCAUAAACGAUUUUUCUUGUUGCAGGGGAUUGCAGUGGCAAAGCUAGGCUAGGUCUUGGAGGCUGGUGUAAGGCGAUGCGGGUGAAGGCAGGAGGCUGAUGGAAAGACUGGGGGGAAGAAAAGCCGAAAUGGAUUCACGGUGCCUUGGAUGAAGGACGAGAGGGGAACUGCAAGCUCCUUCAACUGGUUCUGUCCGGUGAGAAGUGAUCAAGCUUGGGCUGACAAGAGGCUCAGGGAGCCCUCACGUUCUUUCGCUUUUUUACCUGCCAAUCAAACUGCUACAAGACAACACCCUGAUCUGGCAUGGACAUCGCGGGUCCAAGCCUGUAGCCCCAAAUCGGAUAAUCUCUGCAGCUGAUAACAAGCAAAAGAGAAGCCAGGCAACAGCCAUAUUAAAGAAGAAAACAAUCAACUCUGAGAUCCAACUUAGAAAUAAUGUUUCAUUCAAGAUAAGGCUCGUGAUUUAGGAGAUUGUGACCUGGCUUGCAUCAUUCUAAGACUUCUAUCAUCUGUUUUCAAAACCCAAGGAGGACCUCAUUUUCUGUGUGAUAGUUCCUCAUGCUUUGCCAGCCACUGUGUCUUUAAGGAAGCUUGCCAAGAGUUCCUGGCUGGGAAGGACAGUUCGAGUUCAUCAUAGACAAUGAGCUGGCACCACAUUUUAAGUGACUCACCAACCUGGUUGCCCACUUCAAAAUGUCAAGAACCACACUAUCUAAUUGAAAGAACUGUGUUUUAGCAAAGUGUAAUUGGAUCACCUGGCAAGAUCAUCUCAAACUGUGUCUCUGACCUUGCCUUUCAGUGGCUGUUUUGAGCACAAGAGGAGAAAGGAAAUGAUUCCUGAAUUAUAUC